RNAcentral lists this unclassified non-coding RNA (335 nucleotides) under soil metagenome. Its description in RNAcentral is "partial contains 5.8S ribosomal RNA, internal transcribed spacer 2, and large subunit ribosomal RNA". The stretch from base 1 to 120 matches the Rfam family "5.8S ribosomal RNA", at positions 35 to 154 of the family's 154-position model. The record is from RNAcentral.
GAUGAAGAACGUAGCGAAAUGCGAUAAGUAAUGUGAAUUGCAGAAUUCAGUGAAUCAUCGAAUCUUUGAACGCACAUUGCGCCCGCCAGUAUUCUGGCGGGCAUGCCUGUUCGAGCGUCAUUUCAACCAUCAAGCCCCCGGCUUGUGUUGGGGACCUGCGGCUGCCGCAGGCCCUGAAAACCAGUGGCGGGCUCGCUAGUCACUCCGAGCGUAGUAAUACAUCUCGCUCAGGGCGUGCUGCGGGUUCCGGCCGUUAAAAAGCCUUAUUUACCCAAGGUUGACCUCGGAUCAGGUAGGAAGACCCGCUGAAAUUAAGCAUAUCAAUAAGCGGAGGA